Non-coding RNA from Podarcis lilfordi (Lilford's wall lizard), 7700 nucleotides. The record is from the annotation of a GenBank genome assembly. NCBI's taxonomy places the organism in Eukaryota, Metazoa, Chordata, Lepidosauria, Squamata, Lacertidae.
AGAUGCCACUGACCUUCCCACUGUGGGUGCAAGUGAAAGAUGGAGCUUCUUAACAAAUAAGGAAAACCCCUGCUUUAGGAAAAAAAUUAGGAAAAGGUAACAAAUAAAUCGUCUUGUGUCACAGUGUCACUGUGCUUCUCCUCAGCCAUAUUUCACUAAGUUUGGGUGUCAUAACAACCUUCUACACAAGGUUAAAUUUUGCAAUAAUGUUGUGUUAGGGAGAGAAAUUUCUCAUGUAUGGGAAGUGCUACAAACCUGACAGUUUUACUGCAAAGAAAUGUCACAUAGAUAUGUUAGCACUCUAAAAGAAAUGCUAGACUAGCUUCUACAUUAGAAUUAAGAGGUGUCAAUCAUUUAACACUGCAUAAAUGUCACCACAUUUGCUAAAUGUUAGCCUGAAGAAUGACAUGAAUUAUUUGUUUCAGGAUAUUGCAUAUUCUAGACCUCUACCUAUUGCUUGCAUGCAAACUUCCCAUUUUCUUCUUUUAAAUUAAACUUAAGUCAGGCGAGCCAUAAAUUAGAGUGUAAGUAUUUUCACUUGGCAUGACCCUAUGGUGCAACGCAAUGCAUAAACAAACAAAAACCAAGGUUACUAUGGUGGAGAGGGCAGAAGAUGAGCGUCUGUAGGAAAUGAAAAUCCACAGAACACACAAGUGGACUAGUCAUUCGGAAGCGGAUUAGAAUAUCUGUCGCCAACUAUAACACUGCCAGUGCCAGAAAAGGCUAAUUCCUGAGAGAGCUUCCAGCUCCCGGCCUAAUGGUGGAUAGUCUGCUUUGAAUUCCUGCAUGAAAGGAGAGAUUUGGCAAACGCAGCUUCUUUCCUCUCUGCUGUACAAUGAUGGGCGGAGGAGAAGCACUCUUCCAAAUGUCUCUCUGCAACACAGCCUUCAAAGCCACAGGAAAGCCUAUCCAUAGGAAUUCCUAAACAAGCACAGGUGUAUGACCAAGCAAAGCAAUUAUUAUCAGUGUGUAAUACAGGAGGGGGAAAAGAAGCAGACAUGAUGUCGAUUGUAUGAAAGCAAUGUGACUGGGGGAGAGGAGGGAAUCAGGACUGCAGGAGGUGGGAAGGAGGGGUUUAGCACUUUCCCUUAUCUCAUCAUCUCAGUGAAAAGCUUCCAUGGUGGCUUCUACAGUGGUACCUCGGGUUAAGGUACUUAAUGCGUUCUGGAGGUCCGUUCUUAAUCCUGAAACUGUUCUUAACCUGAAGCACCACUUUAGCUAAUGGGGCCUCUGCUGCCACCGUGCCACCGGAGCGCGAUUUCUGUUCUUAUCCUGAAGCAAAGUUCUUAACCUGAAGCACUAUUUCUAGGUUAGAGGCGUCUGUAACCUGAAGCGUAUGUAACCUGAAGCGUAUGUAACCCAAGGUACCACUGUACACUGAAAGUACGUAAUAGCAGCUCAGAGGACAGGGAUUUUCUUCAUAGAAUUUUAUCCAAUGCUAUUUUGAUUAAAUGUUUCCUAUUUCUUUUCUUCUUUUUACUGCUUUUAACAUUUUAAUUGUAGGCCACCAUGUGGUGGCUGGGUCUAGAAAGUGGGAUAAAAAUACAGAAGAUAAUAAUGAUUAAUACCUGUGGACUUUGGGAUUCAGACACCUGGAUCAAACCUGUGUGUAGGAUUCAGUUGGUGAGAAAGAGAGAGAAAACCAACUCAGGUUGUCCCUUACACUAGCUAUCAGUGCAGAACAGGAAAUUGUCUGUGAAGGCUACCUAGGAAGAGAUAGGGGAAAGCAGGGCAUUCAGAGGGCUGAGUGGCCUUAGAGUGGAAUUCCUGUCUGUGGUAUGGUACAACCUGGAUAUAAUACGACCAUUAAGAAUUGCAGGUAGCUAUGUAGGGAACUUACCUUUUCCUGCAAAAAGAAUGGCUAAUUUCCUGCAAAAAGAAUAGCUAACUUCAGAGUGUUAUCCCAGGAGGACACCUUGGCAGGUAAUUAUGCAUACCAGUUGUGGGCACUGCAGUAGGAAGGGUUAGAACUACCCUUUUGUAGUCUAAUAACUUGCAUUGUGUUAUGUUUCUUAAUAAGGUUGUGGCAUGUUUAACCCCAUUGGGGUGGGGAGCAGAAAGAAGCAAAUCGGCCAUUUGCUCCCCUUUCCAGAUCAUUAAUGAAGAUGUCAAAUAAAUAUGGAAAUAAUUGCAACUUUCUCCUCUGCAUGUCAUCCCAGAAGCAUAUCCAAUUGGAAAGAUAACCAAGGCUUCCUGUUUGGGCGUUUAAGCCUAAUAUAAAGCUGUCCUUCCUUCCAAUGUUGCUUGUGCAUGAUAUACAGAUUAAUGCUUAUCUCUUAAAUUCAUUCCUGAUAAUGUCUCCCUUCCCCAAGACCCUUGGUAGUGUGGCGGGUUUUGCAAUAAAAUGCUUUGAAUUUGACAAGGUGCUACCCAAAAUUGCACACAAUGUUUCAGGUAUGAUUACUCUGGGCUGAUGUUGGCUGAUGUUAUUACCAUCUUUUUUUCUACUAUCACAUUGAUAUUUCCAUCAAAAUGGCUCAGCCCUUUUCUGUGCUGCAUUAUGUUAUGCACUCCUGACUAAUUUGCUCUCCAUUACCAUCUCUAUGGCUGUUUAAGCUUUAUUGCUUUUCAGGUUUCACUCCCUCAUUCAAUAGAUCUGCUUUGGAUUAUAUUCCCCCCCUCUGAUACUAUUAUAUUGCUGUGUUCCAAAGUGAAUAUCAUUUUGUUGCUAAGGCCAUGUUUCCAAUAUCUUAGCUCCCUCUCUAUUAUUUCCAUGCCUUGGCUGUUUUUUUAUUUUGCAAUGCCUCCCAAUUCAGGAUAAUAUGUGAAUUACAUUAACCUGCUGUUUACUCCUUUCCAGAUCAUUAAUGAAGAUGUCAAAUAAAUAUGGAAGUAAUGCCAGUUGCUUUAGUUCCCACCAGGCACCUCCCACAACUUGAGACACAUCAGUGUAUCAUUAUCCUUUGUUAAUGGUCGUUCAGUCACGUUUCAGUUCACAUGACAGGUUUCCAAGCCUAUUUUGAUUAAUUUUGUAGAAAGGAUUUUCAUGACAGCAUUGAAUAGGCUGAAAUGUUUUGUGAAGGGCCAGAGAUGAGGUCAGUUACAGUUAUUUCUGUUCCCACAACUUUAAAGGUGUUUCCUGACAAUCCAAAGUUGUUGUUUUUUUUUUACUCUAGUACUCAUGAUUGGCAUUAUCAUGUGACUGUCAGUGUCCCACUGCCCUGGCACGACCCACUAUUGAUGCCUGCCAUGAUGCAUUUUUUUUAUUUUUAGUGUCAGGCAAUUCAGAGUCACCCUUUUAAUUUCCAACAAUUCCACAACACAGUUGUACAAAAUUUACCACUAUGGGUUUGCUUAAAUUCAUGGGUGCCAUGUUCUCCCCAUAAUUUCUGAAAUUAGUAAAUGUGAGGUUUGAAAUCAAACCAACUUCCUCAGGGGCUAGGCUUAGAGAGGUGUCACCCAGGAACAAGGACAAGCAUUGGAGAAACUCCUGUGGGCUGAGGUCCCUUCGCCUCCCCGCAAUGAAAUAUUUCAGGGGACUGGGACUGGGCCCGUCCCAAAGUUGAUGGGCAUUGCCCUUCAAAUUUUUGCAUGUGCCACAUCUUCUGAUGGAUUAUGUAGGCUGGGGCUUACCUGAGCCCCUGCAAUAUUUUAUUCAAGUUGUUACCCUUGAAGACAAGUGGUAGCAGAGUCAAUACCCGGACAAAAGGUGAGACAUUCAGCAACAGGCAACAAAGUGGGAGGCUACCAAGAUAAAAGGGGGACCUGAUGUCACCACAGGCCUUUUGCAAAAGGUAUUUGAAAUGAAAGUUAUAGACAGGUGGCUUGCUGGAAGCGAAAGGUAGGAGUUGUUUUUCUGCAAAGUCUGCUGGGAAGGAGGAGGAAAUAGGUAGAGCUCCAUGUUGGGGCUGAAGGUCAGAACCAUCUGGACAGGCUAGGACAGAGGCAGAAAGAUGGCAUACAGGAUGCCUUGGGCAUCCAAUGCUGCACUGCAAGGGGAACAACCCCUCUUGAGAUGUAAUGUUCUGAACAUCCAAGUGUUCAGACCGAGGUGUAAAUAUGUGUUAACAAACCAUAUUUCUUAAAGACAUGAUGAUCUCUGCUGUGUCUUGAUUCCCAAUUGAAACACAAACCUGAGUAAGUGCCUGAACCACCACCACCCUGGAAUUUUGCUACCAUCUGGCAGAGAUUGGGGGUUGCGUGCAACCUUCAUAAACGUAUGUUGAAAACUGAGCACACAAAACAAACCUGAACCCAAUGAAAAAUUAUUACAAGCCACAAGUGAUGGGAAGUUCUGCUUCUGCACAUAAGUCUAGGAAUGUUCAGUUCACAUUGAGUUCAUGAAACAUCAUACCCUGACCUGUUCUUAACACAUUGUUGACCACAUCUACGGAAUGCGAUUGUUAUGCUUUUUCAAGUCAUGCAAUAUCAAUCACUAGUAAUAGUUUAUUAAGACAUGCAUUAUCAAUCACUAGUAAUAGUUUAACAAGGAGGAUUUCAUACCUGUCUAACCAUGUGUUCUCUUUCCCAACUUUUAAUCUAUUGAUGAUUAAUGCUUAUAUACAACCCUUGCAUUGUAUUUGUGUUAACCAAUCAGCAACAAGCACAUAUGGGGCAAUGCUGUAAUAUUCAAUAAAAGGGACUCUCCGAGACAUGCUCGGUAGAUGCCUCCCAUAUGACACUUGUCAUUCGUCUGUCGCUUAUUUCAACCCAACACACAAGAAUGGCAUCUGAAAACAAAUUCCUUUUGAUUGUCCCCCUCCUACAUUAGUGUGCCUUGGAGAUGGCAGACAUCAGCACUCCGAAUGAGCACUUUCAAAGCUUCUACUUUCAAAGCUUUCUUCGUUUUGUGUGUGCUCCAGAAAUGAGAGACAGAGGUAAUGUGUCCUGUUUCAAAACAGGAAGUCUUGCCCUGCUCUGCCGCCCUGCCAUUGUGCUCCAUUGGUGGCGGCAGCAAAGUGGCACUGGCAUGUCCCAUGCUUACUGUGAAUAUUUUCAUUAUCUUCUCAAUGACAUGCUUAUAUUUCUUCCAGCACUUACCCCAUUCAGCAAUGGAUGGUAGGGCUGAAGGAAAUAGGCACUUAAUUGGUCCAAGGGUGGGAGGCACUUGCAACCCAGCGUGGCGGCUCCUCCCCCCUCCCCCGCGGAGCCACACCAUGUUUGUUUCAGCUGUUGGCCUCUUUGCCUGGUCACCACAAUGCUCUCUGGGUUCCCGCCAGAUCCAGGUUUGACUUUGCACCAAUCUGCUGUGGCUUGGGGGGUGGGGCCAGGGAUUGGACCUGGCUGCUGAAGUUUUCACUCUGGUCUGCUCCCAGGGCAAAGAAACAUAAAUGACAUUUCAUAGAAUUGUGCUAUAUACUAGAAGUGAAUUAUUGUUUUCAUAUUUCCUCCACCACCUAUUAUUUUCUUUUCAAAUUAAUAGGCAAUGUCACCUAACAAUUGUGCCAAAGAAUGUCAGGGUCUCUGAGGAACUGAUUUGUUUAUAAAUACCUGCCACAUUUGCCUUUCUUCAUUCUUCUACAUGCAUACAAAACUAAUGUAAUGACCCAGAGUAUGAUUUAUCCGAUUUACCUGUUUAUCUUCAUUGCUGUUGUUAGCCUUUGAGAUAGGAGCGGCACUUAUGGUGAAGAAGCAGAAAGAGUGAGAUUUCUAUUUGCAUUUGUGCUUCUGCUGCAAUACUGCCUCCGUGUUUAGUUAUUUUCUAUGAGUGUCAAAUAACUGUUCAAUUAAGUAGUGUGUGUAGAGUUACAGCCAGAGCUAAUUAGUCUCCGGAUGAGGAUGGACAAAUCAUUCUCUAUCAGUUUCACUUGCAUUCAACAAUAAAUUCAUUGAGUCUCAGCUCCAUAUUAAUCUGUGAUACAUAUUAAAGCUAAAUUCUGAUAUUUUACAAUACAUUUUUUGUCAAAGAAACAUUUCUAAAUGUAUUGUCUCUCAGUUUGACAUUUAUUUUUUUUUUGCAAUAACUUUUCUAGAAUAUUUGGAGAAAGCAAAACCAGUGGCUACAUUUCGAGCUACAAAUGUGUCUGGGGAGUGUAAAUCAACAUUUAUGGCAUUUGAAUUUCUAAAAUUCCUCAAGAAGGAAUUUGUUAAAGAUUGCUGUUGCCAACAUACGAGUCACAUAAAGCGAAGAAGCAGGGGCUAAGAAGAAAACUUUUCACAGUGGUGAAGGGGCUAGAGACAUCUGUAAAGGAUUCCUGUUUGCUGCUGUUACUUGAUACUGAACUUUGUAAGUAAACCUUUUUUGGUCUAUAUGGGAUCAGAAAUUUGUAUGUUUAUUCCCAGUAAAAAUUUGGAACCAGAUGUUUUGUCAGGCUCAACCCCUUUCAAGGUAUUAGUAGAGUGCUACGUCUUGCUUCAGCCCAUAAAAAAAUUUGAUAUUUUUAUUCUCUCAUAUCAUUUCCCCUUAAUUUUUCACCACACUUAAGUCCCAGAACUAUAUGGAAUGUGUGGCAUGUAGGAGUCAAGACAAAAGGAAUGAUGGUAAAUAGAGUUCUUACCCUUUAACUGCCAUGACUCAUUCAAGACAGCCAUGAUUUUCAGAGCUCCAUCCCAAGGAAGUCCCAUCAACCAGCCAGAUUUUAAUUAAACAACUUCUUUCCCCACUAUGUGUUAGUACUGUGUAUUGGGAAUGAGGUGAAGCGGGUUUAUUUGAGAGCAGAAUCUCAUAUUCUCAAGUUGAAUGGGUCAUUUACAAUGAGUUUUGAGAUUGAUCAGGGACACACAGACCCUAAGAUUCCAAGUAGCUCUUCUGUCACGGUUUUUUCCAAAAAGUUAAAGGCACAUCCAAGCUGACUGGUGCAACACCCAAGUUUGAGACAGGAAGGGGUGGAGAAAUAGAGGUGAUGGAUUCUUUUGUUUUGAUAGACAAGUACAGUAUAUCUCUGCUGUUUCUGGGAUGGCUCAUCAAUCUGGACAAGUCAAUGCUCUGUACAGGGUGAGCACCUGCCUGAGCCUACUAAACCAUCUGCUUAUCAGUCCUGACAUAGGCAAACUGGGCCUUACCAGGAAGACAUAGAAUAGUGGCUUGGCAAAUCAAAUGCAUUUUACCUUGCCUUUAACUGGAAGAGAAAAGUGAACAAAAUGAAAUGUCUGACUUCCAGCUGUAAAAAAAGUGUAGAAUACAGAUAAACUUCCAAAUGUAUAAACACAUUCUCUGAAAGUAGGAAUGAUUUUAUGAGAUGCAACCAUAAAACAUUAGACCUUCGGGGAUGUGUUUAUGAUGUGUUUAGUGAGGACUGACCAUAGAUCCCCCAUAAACAGCCUGUUAGAUGUAAAGAUGCAUUGCAUCUGUGUUUCAUGCUGUUGUUAAGUACAUAGUCAUUCAAGCCUUAAGGAUAUCAAAAGGCUCUUUUGUUUCCUCUCUAUCUCCCUGUAGCUUUAUUCUGCUGAAAUUCAGAGGCGAUGUUGAACCGCAGUGGAUGUAGAUGAAAAUGCCUUCCUUUAACAUAAGUAAUUAUCACCUAAUGGUGAUAUGGGAUGAAAAUUAUGAUGGAUAUGAUUAAAUUAUUGGAGCACUGCUAGAUCUUGCUCAGGAUCCUAAAUUGCAUUUCCAUCGGCAAUUCGGGCAUUGGCUGUGGCGGUAUGCCAUAAAACCAGCACAUUAUGUUCUGAAAACAGCACCAUAAAAGAGAUUCACUACUACUCUUAUUCUCACCAGUCACCAGAGUACAUUUGUGGCAUCGUUCCAAGAGGGUGCAAAACUUUUCUGCUUUCUUUCUAGUUGAUGGAGUCCUUACCCUCAAGUUCAACAUAUAUGAUAC